Molecule: ribosomal RNA, 253 nt
Filed under: uncultured bacterium
Lineage: Bacteria
Description: partial 16S ribosomal RNA
Rfam family: Bacterial small subunit ribosomal RNA
Source: RNAcentral
UACGAAGGGGGCUAGCGUUGCUCGGAAUCACUGGGCGUAAAGGGCGCGUAGGCGGCGCUUUAAGUCGGGGGUGAAAGCCUGUGGCUCAACCACAGAAUGGCCUUCGAUACUGGGACGCUUGAGUAUGGUAGAGGUUGGUGGAACUGCGAGUGUAGAGGUGAAAUUCGUAGAUAUUCGCAAGAACACCGGUGGCGAAGGCGGCCAACUGGACAAUUACUGACGCUGAGGCGCGAAAGCGUGGGGAGCAAACAGG